CCUGAUCCCUUGCCGAACUCAGUAGUGAAACGUAAUAGCGCCGAUGGUAGUGUGGGGUCUCCCCAUGUGAGAGUAGGACAUCGCCAGGC
This 89-nucleotide ribosomal RNA is filed under the name Photobacterium kishitanii. The record is from RNAcentral. Lineage: Bacteria; Pseudomonadati; Pseudomonadota; Gammaproteobacteria; Vibrionales; Vibrionaceae.